CGCACGCACACACACACACACACACACACAGAGGGAGACAGACACACACACACACACACACAGAGAGAGAGAGAGAGAGAGAGGGAAGGAAAGAGACAUAGAGGCACACGCACACACAAAACCGGUGAAUAUUUUUUGCUGCUAUUUGUUUUGUUUCUCUAAAUAGUGGCCGCCAUGAGCAGCAGCAACUGGGAAAGAGCAAAUCCGACAGGCCCCUCUUAAGAAAGGAUUUAUACGUAAGAAGUCCUCUUCCAAGAUUAAAGCGAUUCUUAGGAGCAGCCGCUACUCUUCUGGGGCUGGUUCGCCCGGCUCUGCGCAGAAAGCUUGCCCGAAAGAAGCCCUCGCCUCGCCUCGCCUUGCCGGUGGAAAUCCAGACAGUUGGACGUCGCUUUCGAGCCCAACCGUUUUGGGCCUCUAAGCCAAGCUAGUCCUGCUGCAGGAGCCUUAAACCGCCGCCUGCGGCACAAAAGGGGCUACCGCAGACCAGGCGCGCCGUGCCGGAUUCGGCCACCCGAAUCCACCUGAAUUGCGCAGGGAGAUCCGAACCGCGUUCCAAAACGGCCGAGUCGCCAAGCAGCGGUUUCGGAUGUCUCUGAGCCUGACGGCUCCGCUGUGCAGAACCAAAGCGCCCAGGGCGCAGCGACCCCAUCGUGCCACCGAGUCGCGGAUACCUACGGAGACAUGGAAAGGCUCCCUUGGCUCCGUGCAAGCCGUCUCUAAACGCCCGCAGGCUUUCCGGAGGAUGUGCGUGCCCCAGGCCUCCAAGCUGCCCCGGGCUGACUUUGAGGCUGAGCGCUUUCCAUGCCGAUCUAUGCGGAAAAGCGGCGGGUCUUCCGUUUAAAGAGAGAGGAGAGGGAAAGGAGAGGCGGAGGGGAGCAUUUUUCACGGAGUUCUUGGGGACUUUGGAUCGCGUUUCUCCGCAGACUUAGCCCCACAACACCUCCCCAGACCAAAAUACCUGAAAGUCCGAAGCUAUAUUUGACCCCACCGUCGGUCUAAGUAUUCCCUGAUGAUAUGUGUGUAAUGCGAUGUUUUGUUCUUUCUUCCCUUUCAGGAAUUCGCAAAAAGAAGCUGUGUGUAUUUUAAUUUAUUCCACCGACUGUCCUCUCCGAACAAUCCUUCCUUCCUUCCUUCCUUCCUUCCUUCCUUCGAAAUUAAGCAGGUGUUUGAGAAUAGGGAGGGGGAAAAGUUCGGGUUUCAGGAGACAAUUGGUUGACUUUGGUCUGUCUCCCCACUUUCCCACAGAUGGUUUCCUCUCUAAUCAGUGGCACCCAAAAGCUCCCCAGAAAUCUCAAAUUGAGAACUGAGUCAAAUGAAGCCGCGGGGGGAAAAAAAGCCGCUAAUGUCGGCUGGAGCUUGCUUUAUAGGUGUUCACCCCACCCCACCCCACCCCACCCUACCUUUUGUUUUGUUUUGUUUCGUUUCGUUUUGUUGGCGAGAGAGAGAGAAAGAGAGAAAAUUAUCCAUCCCUGGGAAAUGGAACGGUGAUAGUCAGAAGGUCCCUCUUUUUUCCUUUUAAAACUUUAUAGCAUGCUAAAAUGGGGGAACUGGGAGGCUGGAGAACAGCUCUCCUGUGAAAAUAAACUAAGCAGGGAGAGAGGCGACAGGCUGAAUUGAUCAAACGAAGGGCCAUGAAAAAAAGAAAACAGCCGCUCCAAAUUUUAUCCCAGGUUCAGUCCUGGUUUUGGAGCAGAGAGGAAACCCGGUUCUAACUCUCCCCACCCCUUAAAAAACACGAAGCAUUUAACAAUUAUCCCUUAAUCGGCUGGCAGGUUGGCCACAAAUGAUGCCAUUAAACAUCAAAGACAUGCUUGGGACUUUAUCUUUUAGCCAUAAGAGGAUUAAUUUCUGUAAUUAGAGUGGGGAAAAUAUGUACAUAAAUAAGUAUCGCUCUCCCCAUCUUUUCCUCUUGAUCUUACGGAUUAUUAUCGGCGGGUGAUGGGGGCGAUUCUUCCAAGUUUCGUCUCUUUAUUUGAUAAAACGAGGAAAGAGGACUUGGGGACGCCGAGUCUCGCGUCCCCCCCCUCCCCUCCCCUCCCGCCUAGGAGCCCGUCCGGAGAACCGGACCUUUUUCCCGAGCAUCCAGCAGCGGUGCGGACAGAUUGCCAGAAUAAGGCUGCUUUCUUCCCGAGGACCGGAGGGAGAGGUUAAUUUGGGAGGGUCAGCUGUGUUUGCCUUUGUUGCUCUUGUCUCCCACCCCCCUAUCCCCAGGCUCGAGGCAGAGCUUCAUCCUCCGCCUUCCCGUAAAACCCGCCUGACCUUCCUUCUAACCUGUAUGAAUACCUCGUUUACCUAAUGACUUUGUGUCAGGCAGGCAGCAGGUCACUUUCCUUUUUAACCUUUCCCAUUGCUGCAGUAAGCAUUCUGGGCGAUAAUGAAUGGCUCUUGGAAUAAUCGAUGCCCAUUUUAUGAGCCCUGACAAACUCAAGAGAUGGACACCUUGUUUCAGGAACGUGGCCUCACCUUCACCAAGUGGCUUCUUCACCCACCCACCCCUAAGAAGAAACGUUUCUCCCAGCUAGCAGCUCAACCGGUCCCUAAACUUCCCUCUGCAUUGGUGUCCUCAGGUAGGGUGAGAAAAAAAAAGAGUCAGGAUGAUACCACGAUGGUGCCAUGCACACCAAAAUCACCAGGAGUUUCGAUAUCGUUGUGUUGUGGACACCAUCUUGACUUUUUGACUCUUCCCUACAGACAGUCCUGUGAUAGUAAACUUUCCUUGAGUUCAGGCUGACCAACCGGCAGGUGAUUUCAUGUGCUCAUUGUUUGCUUGAUGCAAUCAGAAGUUAGCUUGCCAUUUCUUUUCUUCAGGGUGCUUUUCCCAACUUACAACCCUGGCAUUUCCUCUUGGUCUCCCAUCCAAAUAUUAACCAGAUGUAACCGUGCUUAGUGCGGCUAAGGAAUUUUGGGGCCAAGGAUCAACCAAGUGGCCUGUUUUGUUGGUUCAAAAUGAACAAAUGAAUCAAGCUAAAUAAGUCCAGGAUGCAGAAGGAUUUGAAAGUAAAGGAUUGGGUGACAGAGACAUGUAACACUAUUAAAUACUGUUAAGUAAUAAAUUGAUAUUAAUUGAUAUUGGUGAUUAUGAGUAUCAGUAUUAAUUGAGGCAUUUUCCCCAGACAGAAAUUCCUCAAAAAGGAUUUCACCAAAUUCCUACUUCUUGCCUGCCUCCUUUUCUUUUUGAAAAAUAUCAGUAAUCCAUUUGAGCCAGCUGUCCCACUCCAUCUUUCCAAACACACUCCAUCCCUUUCCUUAGUUACACAGCAAUUAAAAUACAAAUCACCACACUCCUCCAUCCAUCCUUCCCGGAAAGCAAGGGUGGUAUCCUCCAUCAUCAUUCCAAGGGCUUCUGAUCGCAAGAUUGGGUUGUCAAAUAAACAGGAUCUGGGGCAGGAAGAGAUGCUGGGGGUUGUGAUGACACUGGAAGGGGAAAACAAUUUUUACAUAGCCUGUCUCUUUCUUAAAAAGAAGCUCUGGUAAGUUCUUCAUCUUGACCAUUUAGCUUUCAUUUGGUCUGUUAACUCACUUCCAGCUCAGGUGGAAAAAAGAAACUUAAACCUAUAACUAUGGCAAACAGAAAGGGGAGGGGUUUCUCCCGCUUCCCCCCGCCCCCCACCACAUCCACACUUGCAGACGAAACAAGCCAACAGCUCUGGUGAAUGUCUGGAGCUCUUCAGACUUGCUGUUAUUUGCUGGUGUUAGUCAGAACGGAGAAUAGUUGCAAGCCUGUUACCCCUAUAGAAUAAAUAAUACAGAUUCAAACUUUAAUUUAAAAAAAAAAAUACACCUAUAACCAUAUGUUUUAUUUUAUUUCACAGUUACAUUCAUCGUUGCUUUCUUUUCUUUUUAAGAUGCUUAUGCCCUAAAGUUUCGACCUGAUAUUUUCUUGGCACUGAUCCUCACAGAAAAGCGGAUACUAGAGGUGGGGUUGAGAAGAUUACAAGAUCUUGUGAUAAUUUUACAAAAGUAUUCCUAGGAAAGUUUAGACCAAGUUUAGACUAAGUUUAAAUCAAAUGUAGGGAACUGCUAAAGGCAGGAAUGAUAUGUAUCCUUGAAUCAAUUCACAGGCUAAUUGAAAUCUCUUUCUCUCCCUCUCCCUCCCUCUCUCCCUUUCCCUCCCUUCCUCUCUCUCUCUCCCCCUCUCCCUCAUCCUCUCCCCCUCCAUCUCCCCCUCUCCUCUCCCUCUCCCUCUCCCACCUUUAUGGGCUACAUUACCAUCAGGAACCAGGAUGCAGAUUUGAUAAAGGAUCAGAAAAAGACAAAAAAAUAAUUUGUUAUGGUUUCAGCAGAAAGACAGAAUGACUUACUUACACCAUUGUCUGCAUCAGGUACCAAAAUAAUUUCACUGAAUUUGGAAAUUUUGCUCCUGGACUUGAGGGAGGCCUUUGCUUCCACUUAUAUUUCUUUAUUAGUGGCUCAGAAUGUGGGAAUUAUUUACAAUUAAUGAGAAUUAGUUGAAUGGAACUUGCACAUGAUCAAACUGUUCGCUGUUGUCACAGCAAACCUAUUCAAUCCCAUAACAUAAGUGUUUGAAGAACCUGAAAACAGGCAGUCUUUUGUCCUAUAUGUCCCAUGUUUCACUUUUAUCUGGAAUAUCAACCAAGACAAAUUCUUCUGAGAAGCACCAAAAGAAAUGUGAUAUACACAUGGAGUUUGAGCUUCCUUAAUGGCAUCCUGCAGAAUGCCAUUCUUAGAUCAGUAGUAUGUCUAGCUAAAAAUUAUCCAGAGAAGUGGGCUGAGAGAAGACCUGAUUAUAACUCAGUUUCUCUCAUAUGGUAAGAAGAUAUUCAAAUAUAUCAGACCUUUAGAAACUUGAGCAACUAAGCCAUUAUACAUUUAACAUUGCCUGAUAUUAAAUAAAAUAAAAUAAAUGUAGUAAAAUAAACUUAUCUAUGUUUGAAUGUUAAUGA
This is a long non-coding RNA of Ahaetulla prasina, 4904 nucleotides long. RefSeq lists it as uncharacterized. Lineage: Eukaryota; Metazoa; Chordata; Lepidosauria; Squamata; Colubridae. The record is from RefSeq and is a predicted model, not a curated record. The transcript has 3 exons.